Molecule: non-coding RNA, 30 nt
Filed under: Mus musculus (house mouse)
Lineage: Eukaryota; Metazoa; Chordata; Mammalia; Rodentia; Muridae
Source: RNAcentral
UNCAAUAGCAGGAACUACUUGUCUGGGAUA